GAACUGGAUUGUGCGCUGGCCGCCACCGCUGCCACCUGCUCAGAGUGAAAUCAUGAAGGUGGUCAACCUGAAGCAAGCCAUUUUGCAAGCCUGGAAGGAGCGCUGGAGUGACUACCAAUGGGCAAUCAACAUGAAGAAAUUAUUUCCUAAAGGAGCCACCUGGGACAUUCUCAACCUGGCAGAGGCAUUACUAGAGCAGGCCAUGAUUGGACCAUCCCCCAAUCCUCUCAUCUUGUCCUACCUGAAGUAUGCCAUUAGUUCCCAGAUGGUGUCCUACUCUUCUGUCCUCACAGCCAUCAGUAAGUUUGAUGACUUUUCUCGGGACCUGUGUGUCCAGGCAUUGCUGGACAUCAUGGACAUGUUUUGUGACCGUCUGAGCUGUCACGGCAAAGCAGAGGAAUGCAUCGGACUGUGCCGAGCCCUUCUUAGCGCCCUCCACUGGCUGCUGCGCUGCACGGCAGCCUCUGCAGAGCGGCUCCGGGAGGGGCUGGAGGCCGGCACUCCAGCCGCUGGGGAGAAGCAGCUUGCCAUGUGCCUUCAGCGCCUGGAGAAAACCCUCAGCAGCACCAAGAACCGGGCCCUGCUGCACAUCGCCAAACUAGAGGAGGCCUCAUUGCACACAUCCCAGGGACUUGGGCAGGGUGGCACCCGAGCCAAUCAACCAACAGCCACUGGAUUCUGGCCUCCCUCUGCCUCUCUCUCCUGAGCCUGUGUGAUGCCAUACCUUCUGAAG
This 733-nucleotide small RNA is filed under the name Pongo abelii (Sumatran orangutan). RNAcentral describes it as "processed transcript". The record is from RNAcentral. Lineage: Eukaryota; Metazoa; Chordata; Mammalia; Primates; Hominidae.